Molecule: unclassified non-coding RNA, 426 nt
Filed under: soil metagenome
Description: partial contains 5.8S ribosomal RNA, internal transcribed spacer 2, and large subunit ribosomal RNA
Rfam family: 5.8S ribosomal RNA (bases 1-120)
Source: RNAcentral
GAUGAAGAACGCAGUGAAAUGCGAUAAGUAAUGUGAAUUGCAGAUUUCAGUGAAUCAUCGAAUCUUUGAACGCACCUUGCGCCUUGUGGUAUUCCACAAGGCAUGCCCGUUUGAGUAUCAUUAAAUCAUCAACUCUAAAACCUUUGUGGUUUUUUUUAGAGCUUGGUCUUGAGGGUUUUGCAGGCUUUUUUUUUUUUUCGAGUCUGCUCCCUUUAAAUGCAUUAGCGAGACUUCCCUAUGCUGAACCGUCUCUUUGACGUGAUAAUUAUCUGCGUCGAAUUUUGGUUCUCGUUGGGCUUGCUUCUAAUCGUCUGUUAAAGACAAAACGGAUUUGGGUGCAUAUAUGCGCCUUUUUCCAAAACCUUUUUUUGAUCUCAAAUCGGGUAGGACUACCCGCUGAACUUAAGCAUAUCAAUAAGCGGAGGA